This is a long non-coding RNA of Anopheles arabiensis, 695 nucleotides long. RefSeq lists it as uncharacterized. The transcript is spliced from 2 exons. NCBI's taxonomy places the organism in Eukaryota, Metazoa, Arthropoda, Insecta, Diptera, Culicidae. The record is from RefSeq and is a predicted model, not a curated record.
GCUGGCCGUGGCUGCUGUGCUGUUCUGAUGGGAAGGACCCUGAGAAAGAGAAACGAAAAACCAAAUUAAAAUUAUAUCUAAACAUCGCCACGCUCGCAACGCCCAAACCGUUCAACACCUUUCUAAUGACGCCCGGUGUCGCUCGCCAGUACAUUUGCACGGAUUGUGAAAAGUGAAAAUCACUAAAUCUCCCCGCCGGCCAAUCCGGCUCAAAAGCGGGCGUUUGCAGUUUGAUAAACCUGUCAUCCUACCCGCCCUUGCGAAUGGCUCGUAAAUUGGACAAAAAAACACACUCACGGAACAACAACCGUUGCGUGACACCCGGGCGGGAUCAUGCCAGCCGCCCGAAAAGAUUCCACCUGUUGCGCUGUUGGCGGACCGAUUGUCCGUUGGCCCGCCGGUGGGAAUGAUGUGUAGGUUAUAUACCCAAGCGCGACGAGCGUUUAAUUUUUACUUUUUAUACGCGCUGUUGCAGCAUACUAGAGAGGGUUUCCUGCAGCUCGUUUACGCUGCCCAGACGGGGCCAACACAGUGCUUCUCCUCCCAACAAAGCCAUCCAACCGGCCCGCUCGGCUGCUGCUAGAGACAGGCUGGAUUGCUGUCAACUCAUCAAACAAAACAAAAAAGAAGGCGAACAAAAUAUAAACGUCAAAUGUCCAUGCCGAUUCAGUUCGAUCGAUUGACGGAUUUCUAGG